GACCAGUUGAGGCUGCUGAAGCUGCAGUGGUCAAGUUAACGGCAUUCUACGUUACUGUAUUUAGUUGUAAGCUCGUACACCACUAUAAUUCGACACGAGAUUUCUGAAAAGUCGACAUGCUAUAAAUAAAACUGUAGCGUGCCCUUCUAUUUAAUUAGAGCUGAAAAUACAUUUGGGAGUGAAGUGAUUUGAAUCUGAGCAGUCGCCCGCUGCAACACAACGCUGCCAUGGCGAUGGGCUACUCUUCGACGGGAACAUGCACAUCUGAAAGAGACCUGGCCCGAUGAGCAUCACAGCUACAACAUUGCUGCCACAGUACCUCUAGAUACAAUAGUUAUUGGCUUAUUCAAGUGACCAAGUGGUGACAAGGGAAUCUCGUGGCCACCUUCAGCAGGCAGGCAGUCUACAGUCUACUUCAAGCAUCUGCAAUGCUACACAGAGGGA
This 444-nucleotide long non-coding RNA is filed under the name Ixodes scapularis (black-legged tick). Its description in RNAcentral is "uncharacterized LOC121048574". The record is from RNAcentral. Lineage: Eukaryota; Metazoa; Arthropoda; Arachnida; Ixodida; Ixodidae.